This 1863-nucleotide long non-coding RNA is filed under the name Anser cygnoides (Swan goose). RNAcentral describes it as "lncRNA (ENSACDG00005003376.1)". The record is from RNAcentral. Lineage: Eukaryota; Metazoa; Chordata; Aves; Anseriformes; Anatidae.
CCCGCGCGGAUGGGAAACGGGUGGCACGUGGCAGCCCGCGGUCCCCAGGGCCCUGGCUAGACCCAAAUCUCCUUGGCCUCCUUUUUCUGGGCCUCGUUUAGCUGAAAGCAGGACGGAGAGAGGCUGCUGCUGGACGUGCCCCCCCCAGGGAUGGGUUUGUGCCCUGAGCCUGCACCCGCGGGGAGCUCAAAGGAGGAAUUGUGCAGAGCCCCCCCCGCGGGGUGCCACGCGCCCGGUGCCAGCCGCGGCCGGGCCCGUCCCGCUCCCGCGUGGUCCCCACAACGGCUGUUUGUCCCCCUGCCCGAUGCUACAGCUCGAUUCUUCCCUCCCCUUGUCCCCGCUGUGCGUUCCCUUCCCUCCGCAGCUCCUCGUCCCACAGGGGUCCCACGGCCCCCACACCUGCGUGGGUGCCACGGGGGCUCUGGCGCGGAGCUCGCCUCCCGCCGGCGCACGGGAGCAUCCUUUCCGAGGACGCGAUGCCCCAUCCAGCUUCAGCGGGAGGUGUUAUAAAAGCCCCCCGAGGAGACGAAUCAGGCCCCAGGGCCCUUUUCCCUGCACUGACACAACGGUGCUGUGCACCCAUGGGCGCAGGUGCGUGCAAAAGUGUGUGCAAGGACAUGAGGGGGGGGGUGCCAGGGGCACGUCCCCGCUUGUGCUGCCCCGUGCCAGUGCUGCCCCUCGGACCCCGUCACCAUCUCCACCAGCGCCCCACGGAGCCACGGACUGGUUUGGGUCGGAAGGGACCUCAAAGACCACCUAAUUCCAGCCCCCAUCCUGUGUCCUGCUCCCUGCCAGCACCCCGCAUCUCUCCCCUCUGCCUGCUCCGCUCCCCGCUGCUCCCCCAGUUUGCUCCUGCUCCUUCCCCAGUCUGCUCCCACUGCUCCCCCAGUUUGCUCCCACUUCUCCCCCAAUUUGCUCCCGCUGCUCCCCCAGUCUGCUCCCACUUCUCCCCCAGUUUGCUCCCUGCCAGCUCAAUUUUUGGGGGGGAGGGGGGGGGGUCCGACCAUCACACCAAACCCCACGUCUCCGCUACACGGAGGGCAGCCCGUGCCAAACAGUCGGCGUCACCUCCCCGAGGUCUGCCGAGCUGCGGUGUCCCCCCGCACGGUGUCACCCCAAUUUCCAUCUGUGGCCAUCCUGGGGCUGCAGGCUCCGCGAAGCCACCCGCCGGGGGCAUUUUUUUUGGGGGGGGGGGGGAAACACCUCCCCGCAGCCCGACGCCCGCGGUGUGACGGAGGGGACCGGUGCCUAAAUUUACCUGCACGGUCCCCUGGAGGUGCCGGGCUCGUGAUCGCCGCCGUCGGCGUAAAUAGGCCGGGGUGAACCGAAUUGGGGGGGGGGAAGAAGAUCGGGCUCGUGGGGAGGGCACAGACCUGGGAGGCGCUCCCUGAAUCCUCCGCGCGCCCCGGGGUGGGGGGGACGUGACACCGAAAUAGCUUCGGGAUGUGGGACUUGGCCUCGCCGAGCUCCCAUUGCCCAGUUUUAUUCAGAACUGGUCCUCAGGUGCCUUUGGAAACGGGUCACACCGGGCUUGGGUGGUGUCCCAGCCCCGGGAGGAUGGAGGGGACACCCCAUAACCGAUGACCCCAAAGUGGGGGGGGGGCGGCGGGGGCGCUUUGUCCCCACCCGGGGACAUCGAAGCUGCGGGGUGUCCCCGAGCCCCCCGCCUGCAGCCUCCAGCUCCCGACCAUUGUCACUUUGUCACUGCCCAGCUGUGUCCUGCUGGGGCGGGUGGCACCCACCCCUCGCCGUGCACGAGCCCCCCAAACCCAGCCAAAAGUGGGACCCCCGUUGGGUGCCAGCCUAAUUCUGGGCUCGAACCCUAGAAAUAAAAACUAAAAUUAUAUUUAAAAAAAAAUAUAU